GGAGGAAAGUAGGGGAUCGCAAGACCUCGCGCUAUUAGAGUGGCCGAUGUCCGAUUAGCUAGUUGGUGGGGUAAAGGCCUACCAAGGCGACGAUCGGUAGCUGGUCUGAGAGGAUGAUCAGCCACACUGGGACUGAGACACGGCCCAGACUCCUACGGGAGGCAGCAGUGGGGAAUUUUGGACAAUGGGCGAAAGCCUGAUCCAGCCAUGCCGCGUGCGGGAAGAAGGCCUUCGGGUUGUAAACCGCUUUAGUCCGGGAAAAAGGGGUGCGAGGAUAAUACCCUUGUGCUUUGAUGGUACUGGAAGAAUAAGCACCGGCUAACUACGUGCCAGCAGCCGCGGUAAUACGUAGGGUGCGAGCGUUAAUCGGAAUUACUGGGCGUAAAGCGUGCGUAGGCGGUCUUGUAAGACAGUCGUGAAAGCCCCGGGCUUAACCUGGGAACUGCGUUUGAAACUACAAAGCUAG
This 466-nucleotide ribosomal RNA is filed under the name Nitrosospira sp. YKU21. RNAcentral describes it as "bacterial SSU rRNA". It matches the Rfam family "Bacterial small subunit ribosomal RNA", at positions 198 to 644 of the family's 1533-position model. The record is from RNAcentral. Lineage: Bacteria; Pseudomonadati; Pseudomonadota; Betaproteobacteria; Nitrosomonadales; Nitrosomonadaceae.